AAAUGCAUUACAGGGUAAGAUCUCUAUUGGCAGGAAACCAUUACUUAGAUCUUUGCAUCUCUUUAUGCAUUGCUUUUAAUUAGUGAGUUAUCUGCCAAAGGAGAUUUGCCCUGUAAUUCUUCU
Arabidopsis thaliana (thale cress) is the source of this 123-nucleotide microRNA precursor. It matches the Rfam family "mir-399 microRNA precursor family". Rfam says of the family: mir-399 was identified in both Arabidopsis thaliana and Oryza sativa computationally and was later experimentally verified. mir-399 is thought to target mRNAs coding for a phosphatase transporter. The mature sequence is excised from the 3' arm of the hairpin. The record is from Rfam. NCBI's taxonomy places the organism in Eukaryota, Viridiplantae, Streptophyta, Magnoliopsida, Brassicales, Brassicaceae.